CUUCAAGGUGCAGGAUGGAAAAGUUUUGUGAGAUGUUUCCUUCUGUGCUUCACUUAAAAAGGUGGAAAACAGGUUCUUGUUGAAGAAACAUUGGUGAUACUUCUUACUGGAAUUGGUGGGUGGAGCUAAGCACUCCUUUACCCUGCUACUACAGUUUGAGACAUCCUCCAGCAAAGCAAGAAAUGGGCAAUAUUUGCUGUUUUAAAGGCUAUAACACGAGCCAAGCACAGAGCCCAUCUCCAUCUGCA
This 248-nucleotide long non-coding RNA is filed under the name Coturnix japonica (Japanese quail). RNAcentral describes it as "lncRNA (ENSCJPG00005012596.1)". Lineage: Eukaryota; Metazoa; Chordata; Aves; Galliformes; Phasianidae. The record is from RNAcentral.